Molecule: long non-coding RNA, 1320 nt
Organism: Cyprinus carpio (common carp)
Lineage: Eukaryota; Metazoa; Chordata; Actinopteri; Cypriniformes; Cyprinidae
Source: Ensembl
GGCUGGAUGACGACAUGACACCAAGCCAGUCAGGAACAGGCAGAGAUAUGCAAACUAUGACACCAUUGGGCGGUGACAUCCUACUGUGCGGUGGAACUCAAUCGACUACUAGAUUAGACGAUAGACGACAUUAAUACUUAACAUGGCGGUCCCGAAUGAUCUUUCAGGGACCAUAGAACACGCUGUAAUAGCAGCAUUAAGGAGCUUCAAAGAAGCAAGUCUAUCACCUUCGACAUCCAGAGAGACUUCAACGCCAAUCUGACCAGAGGGAAACACAGGACACAUCUGUAAAGAGGACAUUGACAUCUCAAGAUCAAAGUUUGUGCCUUUGACAAAUGAUGAAUUGGAUUCUACAAUUUCAGAAAUUAAAGCACAGCAUCCUCACUUGGGAGAGGUGAUGCUUAAUGGCCAUCUGCAUUCAAGAGGCAUUGUGGUGCAGAGGGGCAGAUAUGUAUCAAAAUAGAGGGGAACCUGCAGUAUUAACAGGAAGCUCUGUACAUAAUCAGAGAAUUGAACGUUUCAACCGUGACCUCAACAGGAACUGCAGUCAUGUCUAUGCCCCAGUUUUUUAUGAACUGGAGAUGAUGCAUGUGCUGGAUGUAGAAAACAAAACAGACUUAUUUGCGCUUCAUUGUGUGUAUGUUAUGUUCCUAGAAUAAACCGAACAUUGGAAGAGUUCAAAGAAGGAUUUAACAACCAUUCCAUUUCGUCAGAGGGAAACAAGACUCCUCUUCAGCUUUACACAUUAGACAGACACCUGCUUUACCUUCAUCACCCUGAAUCUGCCUUUGAGAAGAACAGUGACAGUGGACGGAGCAGAGUGGAUCCACCACAAUCAUUUUUACCACAACAUGAUUCCUUUUGUCUGAGUAGACCAGAUUUAAAGGAGCUUUUGGACACGAUAAACCCUCUUGAAAAUGAUAACAACAAUGGAAAAACCAUCUUUCAGAGAGUACAGCAAUUUAUAUUUCAUAAAAAUGUAAACAAGUAAUUUUGUCUUUGAAAAUUCAGUGUUUUGGGUUGAAAAUAUUUAACUUAUAUUAAAUAUUUAAGGUUUGUGAAUAACAAGUUAACAUUUUCUUCCUGUGACUUAAUUGCAUAGUACCGAAUACAGCUCAGCUCAAUAGAGCAUUUAGUUCAUUAAAUGUAUACUCUAAAAGUUUGUCAGUUGUUUGCAUUGCAGUGGUUGAAUACAUUUUAAAACAUUCUUUCAUGUUAAAGUUGAUUCCACUGUGCUAAACAGUUCUUGGGAACAUAGUGCUGAAACAGCAAUCAAUCAAUACUUUUUACAUUAAUAAUAAAAAAAAAAAAAAAAUCCCA